RNAcentral lists this unclassified non-coding RNA (910 nucleotides) under Hevea brasiliensis (rubber tree). The record is from RNAcentral. Lineage: Eukaryota; Viridiplantae; Streptophyta; Magnoliopsida; Malpighiales; Euphorbiaceae.
GAGAAAUUUCACUUAAACGUAAUGUCCAACAAGCUGUGAUUUGAAACUGGGAAAAUUCCAGCGAACAGCCGUCUUUUUAGUCAACAUGUUAUAACGCAGAAGAAAAUUAAUGAGCAGAAGCUCAAAAAAGGUAACUCUCAUAAAAGACACUCGUUAAUACAUUUUCACCACCUGCCAAAGCAACGGAGAAUGAGUCAAGAAAAAUAACUUCUAAUCGUCCUCCUCUUGGUCAAAAUCUUUAACCUUUACAUCAGCGUCCUCUCCAUACUGGAUGCAGUUGUCAAUCUGGGAUAAGAUGUACUGUAUGCUGCUCUCUUUUCUCAGGUCAAGAGGGAUAAAGCUCACCAUGCUGUACUGGUCCACCACUUCAAUCAAUGAUUUGUUAAGCUUUUGAAAUUGUGGAGCCAUUCGCUGAUUCAAUUCUGCCAGUAACAGAUGCGGCUCUGGAUUCAAGUAAUUCUCAACUUCCUUUUUGUUUGUCACAAGAUCCAUUUUUGAGAGUAUGUUAACAUGGGGUAGUUCAAGUUGAACCAUAGCAGAGAGUGAAGCCAUACAACCACUAAUGAAUUUGGUCACAUCUGUAAUAAACUGAGAAUCAAGUAAAUAUACCACACAAACAUUAAAAUUUGUACGCCUUAGGUGUUCCACGAAGUUCUUCAGCACAGGAACAUGUGAGAAAAGCUCAAUCUGGCCUGGGCAGUCAAAGACUAGGUAGUCAUCAUCCAAGUAGUUUUCCAACUCUUCUGUUAGCCACUCGUCCAAAUUUUCUUCAAGAUGUUCCAUGCAAUACAUAAGGCCACCAUUUGGUCCCAAACCAAGUUCUUCCAUAACAUCAUCCAGCGAGAUGAGCUCUCUGAUGUCCAUAGCCACUGGAUAGUCAAAAUUCUCUGCAGCAGGAUCUAGGUUCACA